CGUAGGGGGAACCUGCGGAGGGAUCAUUACCGAGUUUACAACUCCCAAACCCCUGUGAACAUACCUAUACGUUGCCUCGGCGGAUCAGCCCGCGCCCCGUAAAACGGGACGGCCCGCCCGAGGACCCCUAAACUCUGUUUUUAGUGGAACUUCUGAGUAAAACAAACAAAUAAAUCAAAACUUUCAACAACGGAUCUCUUGGUUCUGGCAUCGAUGAAGAACGCAGCAAAAUGCGAUAAGUAAUGUGAAUUGCAGAAUUCAGUGAAUCAUCGAAUCUUUGAACGCACAUUGCGCCCGCCAGUAUUCUGGCGGGCAUGCCUGUUCGAGCGUCAUUUCAACCCUCAAGCUCAGCUUGGUGUUGGGACUCGCGGUAACCCGCGUUCCCCAAAUCGAUUGGCGGUCACGUCGAGCUUCCAUAGCGUAGUAAUCAUACACCUCGUUACUGGUAAUCGUCGCGGCCACGCCGUUAAACCCCAACUUCUGAAUGUUGACCUCGGAUCAGGUAGGAAUACCCGCUGAACUUAAGCAUAUCAAAAG
This 537-nucleotide ribosomal RNA is filed under the name Fusarium sp. 166AS/T. Its description in RNAcentral is "eukaryotic LSU rRNA". The stretch from base 179 to 332 matches the Rfam family "5.8S ribosomal RNA". The record is from RNAcentral. Lineage: Eukaryota; Fungi; Ascomycota; Sordariomycetes; Hypocreales; Nectriaceae.